This 69-nucleotide microRNA precursor is filed under the name Bombyx mori (domestic silkworm). RNAcentral's name for it is "mir-2774 microRNA precursor family". It matches the Rfam family "mir-2774 microRNA precursor family". The record is from Rfam by way of RNAcentral. Lineage: Eukaryota; Metazoa; Arthropoda; Insecta; Lepidoptera; Bombycidae.
ACAACAUUUGGACCGUCGGUCUACCGAGAAAAUAUCUGCAGCUCGGUGAAAGAUCUUUCCUUUCGUCGA